RNAcentral lists this ribosomal RNA (253 nucleotides) under uncultured bacterium. Its description in RNAcentral is "partial 16S ribosomal RNA". It matches the Rfam family "Bacterial small subunit ribosomal RNA", at positions 524 to 776 of the family's 1533-position model. The record is from RNAcentral.
UACGUAGGUGGCAAGCGUUGUCCGGAUUUAUUGGGUUUAAAGGGUGCGUAGGCGGUUCUAUAAGUCAGUGGUGAAAUCCGGCAGCUCAACUGUCGAUGUGCCAUUGAUACUGCAGAACUUGAGUACAGACGAGGUAGGCGGAAUUGACGGUGUAGCGGUGAAAUGCUUAGAUAUCGUCCAGAACACCGAUAGCGAAGGCAGCUUACUAAGGAGUAACUGACGCUGAGGCACGAAAGCGUGGGGAGCAAACAGG